This 537-nucleotide ribosomal RNA is filed under the name Triticum aestivum (bread wheat). RNAcentral's name for it is "partial small subunit ribosomal RNA". Lineage: Eukaryota; Viridiplantae; Streptophyta; Magnoliopsida; Poales; Poaceae. The record is from RNAcentral.
AUGGCUCUGGCCGCCGCCGUCGCCGUACCGUUCCUCCUCCACGCUCGCCUGGGACCGCGCUUCGCGCCGGCGCUGUCUCCCCGCCGCCUGCUGUGCUGCUCCACUACCGCCUACGAGCCCCCUCACUCCGCGCGGCCGCCGGCGUCGAAGCAGGCCGAGCCCGUGUCCCAGGUGCCGUGGAGGGCCGCGGAGGCCGAGAUCCUCAGCGACGUCGAACCCGUCGUGCAGCUCAUCAAGGACAUCCUCCAUUCGGACAGAUACGCAGACGGCGAAUGCCUUGGCCCCGCGGACGAAAUCGUUGUUGCGGAAAAGCUCCUUGCCUAUCAUCCACGCGCUGAAGAUAAGAUUGGCUGCGGGCUUGACGGCAUAAUGGUCGAUAGGCACCCGCAGUUCAGGAAGUCUAGAUGCCUCUUCGUCGUUCGCACGGACGGCGUCUGGAUUGAUUUCUCCUACCAGAAGUGCCUCCGUGAGUACAUCCGGAGAAAGUAUCCAUCGCAUGGGGAGCGAUUUAUCCGAGAAAAUUUCAAGCGAACCUGA